Molecule: long non-coding RNA, 710 nt
Organism: Melitaea cinxia (Glanville fritillary)
Lineage: Eukaryota; Metazoa; Arthropoda; Insecta; Lepidoptera; Nymphalidae
Exons: 2
Source: RefSeq, a predicted model, not a curated record
UCGAAUACUUAUGGUAUUUUGAAAUUUGUCACGUCAUUGAUAUAUAUGUAAGCUAUUAAACAUACUUGUGCAUAUAAUAAUUAACAGACAAUUGCUCUUAGAUAUAUAUUUGUUAUUAUAACGCCUUUUCAAAGAUUAUUUUGAAUAUAAAAUCAAGUUGUUAAUUGUCGGUUGUACUACAAUAGAUAAACACAAGAUUGUAAAAAACUAUAAUGGUGAAUAAUAGGUAAAGUUAUACCUGUUAUUAAUGGUAUGUAAUUCGACCUUAAGUGGUAAAACUUUUAACCAAAAAAAAAAAAAAAAAACAUUUCGGGUGUAAAUUAAAAAAAAUAAUUAUUUUAAUCAUAUCAAAGUAUCAGAUAUAUAAUUUUGUGGCUCUAGCUAUCCAGCUAACUAUGCAACGUGAAAUGGUCGCAAGGUUGAGGUCCUGUUAUUGAAAGUAUUCCUUGUCAUACAUAGAUUAGCAAAUGUGCAGGUAUUUGAUCCUUAGGUAUUAGGUCGUUUCCAAUUAAUAAAUUCAUUCAAUUUGUUGUGUUUAUACUUUAGCAUUAAGACUCUUUCUAUCAAUUUUUAUUAUACAUGAGUAUUUAAUAGUACAUCAUUUUCGUACUUGCCAAAGACUUUUUUGUAUGUGAUAUGUUUAUUUACUUUUGUACUUAGAAUGUAAACUGUAUUUCUACAUUAAAUAAUUUAGGUAUAUAUAAAUAAAA